RNAcentral lists this ribosomal RNA (387 nucleotides) under uncultured bacterium. Its description in RNAcentral is "bacterial SSU rRNA". It matches the Rfam family "Bacterial small subunit ribosomal RNA", at positions 420 to 806 of the family's 1533-position model. The record is from RNAcentral.
GGGUUGUAAACUUCUUUUAUACGGGGAUAAAGUGAGGCACGCGUGCUUUUUGUAUGUACCGUAUGAAUAAGGAUCGGCUAACUCCGUGCCAGCAGCCGCGGUAAUACGGAGGAUCCGAGCGUUAUCCGGAUUUAUUGGGUUUAAAGGGAGCGUAGGCGGACGCUUAAGUCAGUUGUGAAAGUUUGCGGCUCAACCGUAAAAUUGCAGUUGAUACUGGGUGUCUUGAGUACAGUAGAGGCAGGCGGAAUUCGUGGUGUAGCGGUGAAAUGCUUAGAUAUCACGAAGAACUCCGAUUGCGAAGGCAGCUUGCUGGACUGUAACUGACGCUGAUGCUCGAAAGUGUGGGUAUCAAACAGGAUUAGAUACCCUGGUAGUCCACACAGUAAA